Molecule: ribosomal RNA, 477 nt
Filed under: uncultured bacterium
Lineage: Bacteria
Description: partial 16S ribosomal RNA
Rfam family: Bacterial small subunit ribosomal RNA
Source: RNAcentral
AUUGAACGCUGGCGGCAUGCCUUACACAUGCAAGUCGAACGGUAACAGGUUAAGCUGACGAGUGGCGAACGGGUGAGUAAUGUAUCGGAACGUGCCCAGUCGUGGGGGAUAACUGCUCGAAAGAGCAGCUAAUACCGCAUACGACCUGAGGGUGAAAGCGGGGGAUCGCAAGACCUCGCGCGAUUGGAGCGGCCGAUAUCAGACUAGGUAGUUGGGGAGGUAAAGGCUCACCAAGCCGACGAUCUGUAGCUGGUGUGAGAGGACGACCAGCCACACUGGGACGGAGACACGGCCCAGACUCCUGCGGGAGGCAGCAGUGGGGAAUUUUGGACAAUGGGGGCAAGCCUGAUCCAGCCAUGCCGCGUGCGGGAAGAAGGCCUUCGGGUUGUAAACCGCUUUUGUCAGGGAAGAAAAGGUUCUGGCUAAUACCUGGGACUCAUGACGGUACCUGAAGAAUAAGCACCGGCUAACUACGUG